GGGCAGAUAGUUCAGUCUGGUUAGAACGCUGGUCUCACAUACCAGAGGUCGGAGGUUCAAAUCCUCCUCUGCCCA
This 75-nucleotide transfer RNA is filed under the name Caldifarciminota bacterium. Its description in RNAcentral is "tRNA-Val". It matches the Rfam family "tRNA". From Rfam's summary of the family: Transfer RNA (tRNA) molecules are approximately 80 nucleotides in length. Their secondary structure includes four short double-helical elements and three loops (D, anti-codon, and T loops). RNAcentral also lists the same sequence under 1 other name. The record is from RNAcentral. Lineage: Bacteria; Pseudomonadati; Caldifarciminota.